CUACGUGCCAGCAGCCGCGGUAAUACGGAAGGUCCGGGCGUUAUCCGGAUUUAUUGGGUUUAAAGGGAGCGUAGGCUGGAGAUUAAGUGUGUUGUGAAAUGUAGACGCUCAACGUCUGACUUGCAGCGCAUACUGGUUUCCUUGAGUACGCACAACGUUGGCGGAAUUCGUCGUGUAGCGGUGAAAUGCUUAGAUAUGACGAAGAACUCCGAUUGCGAAGGCAGCUGACGGGAGCGCAACUGACGCUUAAGCUCGAAGGUGCGGGUAUCGAACAGGAUUAGAUACCCUGGUAGUCCGCACAGUAAACGAUGGAUGCCCGCUGUCGGUACCUGGUAUCAGCGGCUAAGCGAAAGCAUUAAGCAUCCCACCUGGGGAGUACGCCGGCAACGGUGAAACUCAAAGGAAUUGACGGGGGCCCGCACAAGCGGAGGAACAUGUGGUUUAAUUCGAUGAUACGCGAGGAACCUUACCCGGGCUUGAAUUGCAGAGGAAGGAUUUAGAGAUA
RNAcentral lists this ribosomal RNA (505 nucleotides) under uncultured bacterium. RNAcentral's name for it is "bacterial SSU rRNA". It matches the Rfam family "Bacterial small subunit ribosomal RNA", at positions 501 to 1008 of the family's 1533-position model. The record is from RNAcentral.